GCUACAACAACGUCAAAUCCAUGCCACAGCGACCUCUGCUGCUUCGUUCGGAAACGGCAACAGCAACCAACACACUGGAUUACACAUGUGCAGUAGUCCAAGAAGUAUUUGUUAUUGUUAGCUUCAGACGCAGCACAAACGUUUCAUUGCUAAAAUGGCUACGAAACGGCCCUUUGUAGA
Hippocampus comes (tiger tail seahorse) is the source of this 180-nucleotide long non-coding RNA. RefSeq lists it as uncharacterized. The transcript has 3 exons. Lineage: Eukaryota; Metazoa; Chordata; Actinopteri; Syngnathiformes; Syngnathidae. The record is from RefSeq and is a predicted model, not a curated record.